This 206-nucleotide long non-coding RNA is filed under the name Elaeis guineensis (African oil palm). RNAcentral describes it as "long non-coding RNA (EGUI_LNC048263)". The record is from RNAcentral. Lineage: Eukaryota; Viridiplantae; Streptophyta; Magnoliopsida; Arecales; Arecaceae.
UAGGUAUAUGUGUGAGAUUCAAAUUUGAAAUUUUGAAAAGUUCAAAAAUUUUGAUAUGAGUAAAGAAAUAAAUUAGAAAAUACUUAAGAUUCUUCAAUGAGAUCGAAGAGGUGUUUGCCUUAGUAGGAGUUUCUAACCUAUCUCAAGAAAAUGGCAUAGUCUCAUAACGGACUCUUUUUAGUGCACCUCAACUUAAUGGGGUGUCG